UAGUCAGGGGUAGAGGUAAGUGUUUUGCUAAGGAGUGAAGAAGUUCAUGUAUCUGUUGACGAGGAAACACACUUUUGUAGACAAUUGUUAGGUAACAGAGUAAGGAGUGUGUGUAUUACCUUGGUGUAUGACAUGCUCAUGAGACAGUGUCAGACCUUAAAAAAUCGAGUCUAAAUUCAAAAUGACUUUGCUGGACUUUGGAAAAAUCACCUGAAACCAAAGGUGAGAAAUAACAGGUACAGGCCCAUUCACUAGGAAGGAAAUGUACUACGUAGAAAUCCAAGGCCAGGCAGAGUGUGGAGAGGAUGAAUCAGCAACAUCUUCACACUGGGCUGUCCUUUGUUCUCAGAUGAUACUUUUAGGCACAUUCACUAGGACAUACAUCAUCCCCAAGUUUCCUUUAGGGAUAAUGGAAUUGCAGCAAAACAUUUACAAUCCCAGCAAAGCUUUUUUCUUGACCAAUGACAAAACUACUCAAGGCAGUAAGCUUGGAUUGGAAUGAGGACAGUGAACAGAAGUGCAAAAGAAGAUAACCAGUUCCAUGGCCCCAAACCCAGGUGGCAGUGGGGUAAAUAAGUACUUUGGCCCAUCCAGGACUGGGAUCUAAUUUCAGCUCUAUUACUUACUGUCUAGAUCUGUGACUUCAACUUUUCUAAGCUUCAGUUAUUUGUAUGUAAAAGUGGAGAUCUCUGUACUUACUUUGCAGGGCUGUUGUGAAGAUUAAAUUUAAAGUGUGCAUGAAAGAGUUUGUCACAAAGAAAAUGUUCAAUGUUAGGAAAAGCAUCCUUCAUUUCCUUCUUAUGCCUGACUUCUGAUCGUCUGUUAGGAAAGUUAGUCAGAACCCAGGAUGUAUAAGUGGGGAACCCCAAGGCUGGCAUGAUGAGCUCCUUCCUUGAUGAAGCGGGUUCCUGAUUGAGGAAGGAUAUGGAGCCCCUGAAAAGGAAAGGGAGACCCCCAAAGAGAAUAAACGCCCCAGAACAAAACACAAGGCUAAAAGCAAUACUAAAAUGUGCCUCCAUCUUCUUCAGGAUGGGUAAAGAACAUUUACACAGAGGAUAUUAACUCUUUCCAGUCUUUAAGUGGGGCCUAAACUAAAGGGUGUGCCAUUUGGGUGAGCUAAUAGGAGGAUUUUGAAAAUUAAAUAUCAAUCAAGUAGUUAAGAAGAGUUUUAGAAUUGCAUUGACAGGAUGUCUUCAUAAACAAUGCAUACGCAGCCUGGGUCAGUUGAACUAUAUUCCAUCUGAAGAUAAGAAAAGAAACUAGACUAUCUCUCAAUGUUCCUCCAAGAUUCUAUGACUUCAUGAAAGUUUAAAGGAAAUAUAACAUGUCAGAUUUAUUACCUUACUACUUACUAAAGAAAACUCAGAGAGAAUGAUAAUGAUACACAAGGUACUCCAUUGGUAGAAAGGGUUUUGGAGUCACACAGAUCUGUGCAGAAACCCCAGCCCUGGAGCUGACUAGCUAAGUGAUGUCAGGUCAGUUUCCCAGCCUCUACGAAGAUUCUCCAAUUUUAAGUUAGGGAUAACAGCACCGUUUAAAAGUUUUGUUUUAAGAGUGAGAUACUAUUCAUGGAAUCCGAUGCCAGGAACUUAACAGGUAGUCAAUAAAUACUAGUUCCUUCCUCGUGUAGUUUUAACUAUUGCCAACCAUAACAAGCUGCACAUAAAAACAUCUAAGAUUUUGCUGUUUUUUGCAAACAUGUGGUGCAAUUAGUUUUGCUACAUAAUAGAUGAGAAAAACUGAAAGCAAAGAAGUUAAUUGAUGGCCAAAGUCUUACAGUAAGUCCAUGACCCAAUAAUUUCUUGUAUUGUCAAGAAAAUGAUGAGGACAUUUUCCUGCUACAAUGAAAAUGCAAUUGAGGACCAAGCAGCAGCUUCUCAGCUCCUUCUGGCAUCUCUGCCUGGUCCAGCCCACCUGCCUCCACUCCUGCCUCCACCAUGUCCAUCAGGGUGACCCAGAAGUCCUACCAGGUGUCCACCUCUGGCCCCCAGGCCUUCAGCAGCUGCUUCUACACAAGUGGGCCUGGUGCCUGCAUCAGCUCCUCAAGCCUCUCCCGAGUGGGCAGCAGCAGCUUCUGGGGUGGCCUGGGCGGAGGCUAUGGUGGGGCCAGCAGCAUAGGAGGCAUCACCGCUGUCACGUUCAACCAGAGCCUGCUGAGCCCUGUUAACCUGAAGGUGGACCUCAAUAUCCAGGCCAUGCACACCCAGGAGAAGGAGCAGAUCAAGACCCUCAACAAGUUUGCCUCCUUCAUCGACAAGAUACAGUUCCCGGAACAGCAGAACAAGAUGCUGGGGACCAAGUGGAGCCUCCUGCAGCAGCAGAAGACAGCUGGGAUCAACAUGGACAACAUGUUUGAGAGCUACAUCAACAACCUUAGGCGGCACCUGGAGACUCUGAGUCAGGAGAAGCUGAAGCUGGAGACGGAGCUUGGCAAUAUGCAGGGGCUGGUGGAGGACUUCAAGAACAAGUAUGAGGAUGAGAUCAAUAAGCGUACAGAGAUGGAGAAUGAAUUUGUCCUCAUCAAGAAGGAUGUGGAUGAAGCUUACAUGAACAAGGUAGAGUUGGAGUCUCGCCUGGAAGGGCUGACUGAUGAGAUCAGCUUCCUCAGGCAGCUGUUUGAAGAGGAGAUCCAGGAGCUGCAGUCCCAGAUCUCAGACACGUCUGUGGUGCUGUCCAUGGACAACAGCCACUCCCUGGACAUGGACAGCAUCAUCGCUGAGGUAAAGGCGCAGUACAAGGAGACUGCCCACCACAGCCAGGCUGAGGCUGACAGCAUGUACCAGAUCAAGAAUGCGGAGCUGCAGACGCUGGCUGGGAAGCACGGAGAUGACCAGCGGUGUACAAAGACUGACAUCUCUGAGAUGAACCGGAACAUCAGCCGGCUCCAGGCUGAGAUUGAGGGCCUCAAAGGCCAGAGGGCUUCCCUGGAGGUCACCAUCACAGAUGCCGAGCAGCGUGGGGAGCUGGCCAUUAAGGAUGGCAACGCCAAGCUGUCCGAGCUGGAGGCCGCCCUGCAGCGGGCCAAGCAGGACAUGGCAUGGCAGCUGCGUGAGUACCAGGAGCUGAUGAACGUCAAGCUGGCCCUGGACAUCGAGAUCGCCACCUAUAGGAAGCUGCUGGAGGGUGAGGAGAGCCGGCUGGAGUCUGGGAUGCAGAACGUAAGUAUCCAUAUGAAGACCACCAGUGGCUAUGCAAGUGGUCUGAACUUGGCCUAUGGGGGCCUCACAAGUCCUGGCCUCAGUUAUGGCCUAGGCUCCAGCUCUGGCUCUGUCGCGAGCUCCAGCUCCUUCAGCUGCAUCAGCUCCACCAGCUCCACCAGGGCCAUGGUUGUGAAGGAGAUCGAGACCCGUGAUGGGAAGCUGGUGUCCAAGUCCUCUGACGUCCUGCCCAAGUGAAGAGCUGCCGCAGCCCCUCUCAGCCUGCCCCUAUUGUGGCUUCCCCAGAGCCUGGGAGGGAGGCUGCUGUGCAGGGGAGCACAGGGAACAGGAGACCCACCUGAGGCUCAGCCCCAGCUCUCAGCCCACCCGCGGGGGAGUUUACCACUUGGGGACCCCUCUUGCCCAUGCCUCCAGCUACAAAACAAUUCAAUUGCUUUAUUUAUAAUGCCCAAAAUAAAAUCUCAGCUAACUCUGCCAAAAAAAAAAAAAGAAAAGAAAAGAAAAGAAAAUGCAACUGAGUUCCAGAAAAACAUUCCUUCUUUUCACUCUUGUAAUUUAUUGUUUCUCUUAUAUGAUAGGAAAGGAACAGUUUGUAUCAUAAGAUAAUACAGAUCUGGGGGUCCAGAAUGGGGCCAACAGUGUUUCUUUGUCUCUUCUUUUGGGUUUAAGCAGUUUCAGUAUUUCUUCAUUUCAAAGAGGAAGGAUGAACUUUGCAGUUCUGUGGAAUUCUUAUAGAUAAGGAGAAGACUAGGAAUCUUGGCUUAAAUUGCUUCCUUGCUUAUUUCUCUGCAUUGAACGGCAUAGCAUGGUUCAGAAUAAACAGAAGUGAUUUUGAGUGUUCUCCAAGAAACAUUUCUGAUCCCUGGACAUGUUGGAGAAAAACCAGUCUAAGCAAAAGCUACAAAAGCAAAGUGGGUGGAAUUCUGGACUUGCUUUCUGUCAUCAGUUCUAGGCAGACUUGCCUCUCUCGACCUUAGAUUGUUCAUCUGUUAAAUGAAUGGAUAGAACCAGGUAACCUCUAAGGUCCCUGACAGCUCAAAAUUCUCUGAUUUAUGUUCUACCAUGAAAAAAAGGUGGGCUAGUGAAUUUCACCAAUAAAUCCACAACGUAAGUAUUUUUAGUCAUCCUAGAGAAAGAAACCAGGUGCAACUCACAGCCACUUGUCAGUAUAAAGAAUUUGCCACUCUGACCUUCUUAUUUUUCUCUAGCAUAAACCACACUAGCCAGAUCAUGGAAUGAGAUGUGAAAAUGUCCUUUUGGUCCGGCCCACCCUCUUGCUAACCCCUAGACCACACCAGGUAAACCCGCCUGUCAUGAACUAUGCCUUUGGAAUGGGACUUAUAGCACAGCCCUCCAUUAGGCCAGCUCAACUGUCCUCUGACCCCAGGGGGACUCUCCUCCUAGAGUCAAAUGCUGACAUUGCAAUUAAAAACUGUUAUUUUCCUAGUUUCAUACCCAGGCAAAACUCAUCCCUUCCCUACUCUCCCCUUUCCCUGGCCUCCUUUAUUGCCUUGUGUAUUUAUGUUCUUGUUAUCUCCCUUAGUAGAUUGUAGAGAUAAUGCUAUAGAACUGAGCUGUUCUUGCACAGACUUUGGAGUCAGGCAGUCCUGGCUGACUGGGUUCUGCCACUUACAUUGUGUGUUUAACAGCAAGCCAUUUGAACUCUCUGAAUGGAAGGUUUUUUUGGUUUGUUUUGUUUUGUUUUUUUUUUUAUCUUUAAGAGCAGAAUGUAAAUAUCUUCCUCACAAGAUUAUCAGGAUGAUUAAAUGAGUUAUUACAUGCAACGCCACUUAGCACAAUUUUAGGCAAUUGCAGGUUGCCGAAACAUUGAAUCUAUUAUUGUUAUUUGUAUAAAAUAGGAUCUUAACAAAUGCUUGUGAAACAAAACAAAACAAAC
Cercocebus atys (sooty mangabey) is the source of this 5055-nucleotide RNA transcript. It is a transcript of the gene named keratin, type II cytoskeletal 8 pseudogene, with no coding region annotated. The transcript has a single exon. The record is from RefSeq and is a predicted model, not a curated record. NCBI's taxonomy places the organism in Eukaryota, Metazoa, Chordata, Mammalia, Primates, Cercopithecidae.